RNAcentral lists this ribosomal RNA (254 nucleotides) under uncultured prokaryote. RNAcentral's name for it is "partial 16S ribosomal RNA". It matches the Rfam family "Bacterial small subunit ribosomal RNA", at positions 525 to 777 of the family's 1533-position model. The record is from RNAcentral.
ACGGAGGGUGCGAGCGUUGUCCGGAAUCAUUGGGCGUAAAGGGCGCGUAGGCGGCCCGGUCAGUCCGUGGUGAAAGCGCGGGGCUCAACCCUGCGUCGGCCGUGGAUACUGCUGUGGCUGGAGCACUGUAGAGGCAGGCGGAAUUCCGGGUGUAGCGGUGGAAUGCGUAGAGAUCCGGAAGGACACCGGUGGCGAAGGCGGCCUGCUGGGCAGUGGCUGACGCUGAGGCGCGACAGCGUGGGGAGCAAACAGGA